Molecule: ribosomal RNA, 400 nt
Filed under: phytoplankton environmental sample
Lineage: Eukaryota
Description: partial small subunit ribosomal RNA
Rfam family: Eukaryotic small subunit ribosomal RNA
Source: RNAcentral
AGCUCCAAUAGCGUAUAUUAAAGUUGUUGCAGUUAAAAAGCUCGUAGUUGGAUUUGUGGUUCGUCCCGCCGGCUGGGUCUUUGACUUUUGCUGUGCUGGUCGUCCAUCCUUGGGUGGAAUCUGUGUGGCAUUAGGUUGUCGCGCAGGGGAUGCCCAUCGUUUACUGUGAAAAAAUUAGAGUGUUCAAAGCAGGCUUAUGCCGUUGAAUAUAUUAGCAUGGAAUAAUGAUAUAGGACCUUGGUACUAUUUUGUUGGUUUGCGCACUGAGGUAAUGAUUAAUAGGGACAGUUGGGGGUAUUCGUAUUCCAUUGUAAGAGGUGAAAUUCUUGGAUUUUUGGAAGACGAACUACUGCGAAAGCAUUUACCAAGGAUGUUUUCAUUAAUCAAGAACGAAAGUAGG